This is a long non-coding RNA of Girardinichthys multiradiatus, 514 nucleotides long. RefSeq lists it as uncharacterized. Lineage: Eukaryota; Metazoa; Chordata; Actinopteri; Cyprinodontiformes; Goodeidae. The record is from RefSeq and is a predicted model, not a curated record. The transcript has 3 exons.
AUGGCACCAGAGCAUGGUGGUGGGAAGCUGUGAAAUGUGUUUCGCAUCAAGCAUCAUCUCAGCAGGGUAUACGAGUAGUAUGCUGACAGCACUUCGACGCCUGAGUGUUAACCAUCUGUGGUCGCCAUUGAGUGCUGGAUUCUGCUCCAGCUCACCAUCUGGUUCCAAUCCACCUACAAAGAUUCAAGACGCCCUCUUUGGACAAGAUUACAGCUGGCAGCAUUCUGGCUCCUCUCUCUCAGAAAACCUGUAAGCGAACCCUGCUCACCCUCUACCGUGCCCGCCAUCAACCCACACCCGGUGUCAUACUUACCACCUUCCUGAAAACAACUUAACUCCUGCAAGGAGCUUGUCGUCCCAGAUUAAGAUCACCACCUCCUGACAAACUCUCCACUCCUAGGCCCCACUCACUUCCCCCCUGGUGGUUCAUCUACUCAUCACCUUUGAGGUGUUCCCGGUUCCGGAUUCCACACAGUACAAUCUUACCUGUUUCAAUAAACCUUUUUCAGUCUCC